CUGUAUUAAACGUAGCACUUCCUCGUCCUCUGGAGCGCUCGGGUCCUGAGAACGGCUGUAAAGUAUGCGAGUGAAGAUUCUCCCACAUUGCAGAGGUUGCGGAGAGGUCGUGACCUCUGAGGGGAAAGGGGUCAAGAGCGGGCACUCCUCUCCACCUACCGGGCGCAAAACUUUUAAUCAAGCGCCCGUCAAUCACGCUGGAAUUUCACUGCAAGCUUGCACAGAUGGGAUUCGGUUCCCUUUCUGGUGCUCUUGUGUGUGUGUGUGUGUGUGUGUGUGUUUCGCAGUGAGUAAUACACUGUGUUCAGGUCACUGCUGGUGGAAACCGUCGUUCCAAAUGAUGCUUAUCCGCCUGCGUGUUAAAAGUCUGCUGCGUUACGGCAUUGCACGGUAUUGCAUCAUGGAAUCAGGAUGCAUUUGGGGCAGGAUGUGUCUUUCUCAAACGCUUCAAAUAAGAAUAAAAAAACCCCCGGCUGAAACGUUCGUACGUCGAGGUUCGGAUUCGGAGCGUUAUUAUUUGCCGUCGUUAUUAUUCGAAUUCUCCUCUUGGAUGAAUUUGGCGACGACGAGAUGUUUUUCACCUCGUUAAAAAGUGACGCUUUUUAUCCAUUUAUAGUUACGUUUAAUGUUGCGGAACAGCCCUGAAACGAGUUCUGGCGUUAAUAAUAAUAAUAAUAAUAAUAAUAAUAAUAAAAAACAACAACAGCUAGUCACGUUACCAAGAAACCGCAACGUGUAAGACUUUCCUGUAAAGUCAAAGCUUUACGCGCUGACACUGGAGACUCCUUCCGUAAGUGCUGCAUAAACACCUCCUCUCAGAACACUUCACACUACCGGCGAUUGCACGCGUUUUUUUUUUUAUCAGUUCAUGUGAACGAGCUGUUGCUAUAGAAAUGAUAACGUGUUUGGAUGAGCGUGUUGAUAUAAACCUGUCAGAGCUGCUGCUCUAGGGAAUUAAUCAACACCUCCUGACCAAUCAGAUUCCCAGAUCCCAGGGCUGGCGCGUUGUAUGGAAUGGUCACGUGUUCGAUACGAGUCCUGAAAAUAGGAUCCUUGUUGUUUCUUAUCGACAUUCUUUCCAUUCUUUCCGUUCCUUUUGCUCAUCCCUCUCAUCUCGUCGCUCCAGGCCGUCCGCGUUUGAAGUGGUCAGCGUCAGCGGUCAGUCCUCUUUCAGCUCGUCUCUUGUGGAGGGCCGGGCGGAGGAGUGUGUGCUGGAGUGGCACUCGGCUCGUCCGCUCGGCUCGUCCCCUCCGCCGCCUCUUUGAUGCCUUUAUUCGGCGCUGAUGCUCAUUCAGCCGUUAGUCGAGUGGGUGGUGAUUGUUAAGAGGCUCUCAGAGAGGCGAUGCCAGUCCUCCUGCCCACUCCCCGCCUCCCUGCCUCGCCCCCCUCCCCGGGGGGGUGGCCUCUUACUCCGCGCAUCCUUUCAAGUGCGCUUCGAGGCGGGAGGAGGAAGAGCUGGAGCACGCACUGCCUUUCUCUUUUGUUUUAGUUGAUGUUGUUGUUGGUGUCAGUGUCACUUGUAGAGGGUGAAAAGAGUGUGUAGGUUGAUUCGCAUUCAUUCAUUCACUCACUCACACACACACACACACACACACACACACACACACCAGCCUCCCAUUCAUUAAAGUUCAUUCGCAUUCCACUGGAGGCAUUGAAGUUUUCUCAUUCAUGAAGCUUCAGCAUCCUGUAGAGCUCAGCAGGACAUGUAUCCUUGUAUGUAAAUAAGCACACACACACACACACACACACACACACACACACACACACACACACACAUACAGAUCUAAUAUAAUACACAAAGACACACCCACACCCUAGGGUUUGUUUCAAUCUCUGCAUGGGAGACAGCCACCUUACUGCAACAAAAGACGUCACUGACAUCGACUUUCCUACAGGAAAUGGAUUAUAUAAGGAGCGUCACGGUCAUUUUGUCCGAGCGGAUCUUUUGAUCUGGGGCGUGCGAGUGUGCGAAGGACGUAUAUAGUGAGCACUCGUCCUGAUCUCACCAGGUUUUUUCACCGAGAGUAAAAUAAACUUUAUUUACUUUUGCGGUCGUCUCAAAUACAAUAGAAUGCAACACAGUGCAAUAGUAUACAAGCGUAGAUAGGAGUGUGUGUGUGUGUGUGUGUGUGUGUGAGAGAGAGAGAUCAAAGUAAGGUAGCUUCAGUAAGGUACACAGACAUUAUUAGGCAGAUUGGCUCUUUUAUAGUGUAAAUGGUUUCUCGGGCAGCUGGUCUGUGACGUCCGUGUUGAACUCGUCCGCUCCCGUUUCCUCUCAGCCGCGGCGUAACGGACGCUUUAUCGUCGCCUUGCGCGUUUGUCGUCUUUGGGUUUUUCCUCUCCGGCCCUACAGACAUCCUGCUGCGUUUCCCAGAGUAUCAUGACAGCUCUUUAGCAUUUCCUUUACUGCGAGGAGACGGAAAGAGACAGAAACGAGGUGGUCGAGAUGCGCAGCCGGGGGUCGGAGGGUUGUGAGUUUAACGCUCCGGCCACACGCAUGCACGUAUUUCUGAAAACUCUGUGUUUUCACACACACGCACAAAACCUCUCUUGGUAUUCUGUCGUAAACUGUAAACACGUUAUCAAGUGAGAACACAUUUUUGAAAACAUUGUUUGACCCAAAGUGUUGACAAAAUGCAGCGAAAAAACCCCACGUUCUCAAAAAUAUCUGUCUACAUGUGGGCGGGGCCUGCGUCAGGUAUUACUAUGUAUCCUCCUUAGUUUUUUUUCUUCUAUGGAUUUGUACCUACAAUGUUAAUAUACUAUAGCUAGUUAGUUUUAUUAAUAUAUUAUAUUAUAUACCUAGUUUUUUAUAUUAUAGGGUUUUUUAAAAAAAAUAAUAAACAUAUCAAUCAAAAGUGAGCUGUAAUAUCACUCGAGUCGCCUCUAAUGCACAGUUCCCGCCUUCAAACUUCUUUAGGCCACACCUCCUGCCUGAGACUGUGUGUGUAUGUGUAUGUGUGUGUGUGUGUGUGUGUGUGUGUUGGGCAGAACUAAUUCCCUGGGUAAUUAAUCACCUGUGCCUGUCAGUCCCGGUAAAGGAGGCGUGGCUUGUCCUAGUUUUGAGCAGUUCGUCUGAGAUUUACAGGCUUUUCACGUGUGGUUUUGACCACCGUGUGAAUUUCGACACUCGAACCCAAAAGAAAUCUUUCAGCCCUGGAAACCGGGGAAGAAAAACCCCUCGGGCAGACGUCAGUACAAUGUUCUGUGUCAGGUUAAACGGACAUAACGGUCAAAAUAAAGUAAACCGCAGUGGUGCCGUAGUUCUACUGCAGUAACGCCGCUUCCUCUAAUCCGUAAUUCAGCCCUUAUUGCUUUAGACACCGGGAUCCAUUUCCUCGUUGAGACGUUUAGAAACGUCUGUCAGUCCUCAUCGGGUUCCUGGUUGUGCCCCGAGGACUUUGGCGGCGUGUUUGGCGUUAAGGUGGGGAUUGCGUAAGCCGCGGCGGCUCCAAAAAACGCCGCCGAAGUCACAGAAAGAAUCGUUUCAGUCGCUGCUAAUCGGGGCUGAGUUGUGAGCUAAAGUGCGUGUGUGUGUGAGGAGGUGAGAGAGUGAGACCACUGUGUGGAUUCGGGUUCUUGCGGUUUGAAGUUUCACUCGCUGCUCGGAAAGCUUUUACGACGGUCUUUAACGAUGUAAGACAAACCGCACGUUCCACAAAUCGUAGACCAAAUCGUGUAACUCGGAGGAAAGUCCUCGCGUAUACACCCAGACACCACAGCACUCUCGUUACACAGCGUUCCUCAGAGGUGCUUUCACUGCUUAAACUCUUCUUUAAGAGCUUCCUGUCUGUUGCGCGGCUCCGUUGUGCCCGAGAAACCAACCCAAGCGUGGUACCUUCUUAGAUUUCUGAAGGAUUUAACAUGCAGGAACGAAAGACAACAAAAAAGGGUUCCGGGAGAACUUUUUCUGUGAUACUCGCCCUCACACAGUUCUGUGCUUGAGCUCGUCUCCUGCUUGCUCUCUCAUUAGCAUCGUACUCCGUUUGCACUGGUAUGGUACCAGUGCUGGUUCUGAGUUCAGCACCAAAUCUCGCCAGACUCCGGCGCUCUCGGUUUCCGUAAACAUCGGCGUUCACCGUACAAGUCCCUGUGAGCGAGCCGUCACUAUAGAGACGAUGACGUAUUCAAACAAGCGCGCUAGAAUGAAAUGGAAAGAUCUGUCAUUCCCACAUCUGAUCACGUUGAAGUUCGGCUCCUGACGUGAUGAAAAGCGGGUCGGUUCUGAACCCGAGAGCCUGGAGUUAAACCUCGACUGCUCUGCUCUGUUCUUGGAGAGGAUUUGUUUGCAAUAAAAGUUUCUGCCAAAUGAAUAAACACGAAGAUAAAACGCCAGACUGUGAGAACGAACUGUUGUUCGUUCUUUUAAGGAAUUCCAGCACGGUUCUGAGUGACGGCAGCACCCGGGUCGAUUCUGGGCCUCGUGAUUUAUGACAUUUCAUUAAACAUUUGCAUGCACGUCGGCCAAAUCCAACACCUUCCUUCCCUCAUCUCGGCCACGUUCUCUCUGCCAGAGAAAGAUGUGUGAAAAUGAUCAAACCGAACAGGAAACCUGUCCACCGGAGGGAAUAUAAGGGAGUUAGAACCUGGUACUGGGAAUCGUUUGAUCUUUUCUGAUGGAGGUCGUUGAUGUCUUUUAAAUCUUUAAGCUGACAUUUUAUCCACUCGCAAUUCCUGCAGGGGAAAUGAUUCCCCGUCUCAUCUCCCCGUCACCUUUCUCCUCCGUCCGAGUCCGAACGCAUCACGUCUGCGUCUGCGUCUCCACGUCUCGGCUCGAGGACUCGGAAACCGGAGCCGCGCGUCAGCUCUGGACGCCCUGAGUCCUGCGGUGCAGCUGGGUCUGCUCGUGCCAGACGCUGCCGGAUCUGCAGCACACACUCGUUUAUUAGUCUGAUCUGAAAGGGAAAUAAAAGCCCGGGCACGUUUCCAGUUUUUAACGUCUGCACGCACAAACAUCUCACGAAAUGUUGGAUAUGUUUUUUUUUGUUUUUUUGUUUUUUUAUCAAACAUGCAGGAUGAUGAUUAAAUACGGAUCGAUAUUAAACAGGUGUUUACGUUUAAUCUGCGUUCUCAUGGAUGGGGUGAGUGUUUUAUUAAAUUCAGGUGAACAUGGAGGGUAAACCAUAAUAUAAAUAUUAAAAGGGAUGUAGAAAUUCGGACAUUUUAAUAGAUCGCGAGUCUGUUUUUGUUUGUUUAUUCAGUUAUAGUGCUUGUUGCUGAAAUGUAAAACUUAAAAAAAAAAAUAUAUAUAUAUAUAUAUAUAAAUAAAUGUUGAAUUGUUAAACUAAAAACUGUAAUGAAUUUGUAUUUAUUAUCGGUGUUGGAGAUGUGAUGGUGACGGUGAUGGUGAUGAAACGCUGGAUCGGUUCCGGAUCGGAUUUUCUGCUUUAACUCUUUCACUAGUAGCUGAUACUCGGAGCGCUGAUUUUUGGAAACGUGGAGGGAAUGUAAAGCCGUAAAGAGAUUAGUGGAUAGUGAAUAGUCAUUUUUAGUUAUACUGAAGUCAGGGUGUGGUCUGAGACUGUGUGUGUGUGUGUGUGCGUGUGCGUGUGUAAGAGAGAGAGAGAUAAAGUUGCACAGUAAUCCUGUUUAAUGAAACUCAUUUCUCUGUAAUCCACUGACAACUCAAAUGAUACGCACACACACACACACACACACACACACCGCACCACCCUGUGUGUGUGUGUGUGUGUACAGUAUCUGCAUAGAACUUGUAUGAGAGGUUCCCAUAACCGUGUGUGUUUUUAACAUCUCGGUAUAAACACUGAACCUUUCCUUUCUUCCCCUCACACGUUGACGGCCGACCCGUCUGUUUCUUCCUGACCCACGACUAAAACCGGCUCCGCUUUUGGCAGCAUGAGUCUUGCUUCCCACCUGCGGCUCACCUCACACGCUCGAGUCGUAUCCUUCCAUCUUGUUUUCCGUCCUCUGAGCCUUAUUUUGUUGAAAUGUGCAUAUUCAGGAACGUGGAGGCUUCUAGUGUUUCACUGCCUCGGUGUGCGACUUCCACUGGAACGGAGUUUCACCUUUUAUAGCCGUUCGCUGGUCCUAAAUCACUCACUGUGUGUGUGUGUGUGUGUGUGUGUGUGUGUGUGAGAGAGAGAGAGAGAGAGAGAGAGAACUUAUGUUCCUGAUCUUGAUUUGAUUGAUUGAGCGCUGCAUUAACCGCUACAGAAAUUAAUUGAGCUUCUCUUCAACGUCUUGCGUCCCUCCAUUACCCCCCACCCCUCCUCCCCCCUCCCCCAGGAGGCAGCUUGCGGUCGCUUUUUCAUGAUUGGUCGAGCGACUGAAGUGUUUUGGUUGAAAUAUGGCCAGGCCGUCACUCCCUCUACCUGCCGCUUAUCUCUCUGCAGAAAUUCACGACGUGGAUCUCUGGCCCUCGCCCAGAUCAGAUUUGCAUAUCACCCUGUGUUCAGAGAGCCAGGAGCCUCGAUUCGAUCGAGAUAAAGUCGUUAAAGGUGGAAGUGGCGAGGACUGGCGUGUAAAGAUCAGAGCGGAUCGCACGCAGCUUGCAGACCAAACCCUCAGCAGCUUCUCACACGCAACAAGGGACAAACACCGUUUUUUGUUUACUUUCUCAUCAGGAAAUGCUUUUUCAGUUUUUAUCUCGUGAUAAGUGCGUGAUACGAAACAUCAUGGGUAGUCUUUCAAACCCAGAGACGUCGUAAAUCCGCCAGGUUGUACAGAUUUACACUGAGAAAAUGGCCUGUUUUUUAAAAAUUUCAUCAGACCGAAUAGUUUUCAUUUUAUAACGAAUUUAAAACCCGUUUGGGUGAAAUGAGAGAUUCUUAUCUGGCAACCCUAAAGGACGAGUUUCCACUGAUAUCAUCUUACAAAAGAACACUUCACGACCCGAUACAAGUUACGAUAUUAACUUGCUAGCUAGCUAUCUAGAGGUGAUGUAGCGUAUGUACAGUUACUGAAUCGAGAGAUUCUAAGCUAGCUAGCUAUCUAGAGGUGAUGUAGCGUAUGUACAGUUACUGAAUCGAUAGAUUCUAAGCUAGCUAGCUAUCUAGAGGUGAUGUAGCGUAUGUACAGUUACUGAAUCGAGAGAUUCUAAGCUAGCUAGCUAUCUAGAGGUGAUGUAGCAUAUGUAUAGUUACUGAAUUGAUAGAUGAACCACUUUAUUCAAUACCAUAUUUUACCAAACGCUUUAUUUUAUACAGUAGAAUAGAUUUUAGCUAACUACCAAGUUGACUAGCUAGCUUAUUCAUUGGCAAGCUAACACAAGCUGAUGAUUUCAGUCUGAUCCUGUCUAAAAUAAUGGGGUGUAAUGUUUUGGACUGAUGCGUCAAAGUAAAAGGGAAACGUAGAAAUGAAUCGCAACAGCUUGUGUGUAAAAAUAAAUAAAUAAAUAAUCUGAUUUUUAAACUGUAAACAGGCUAGCAAGGUGAUUUACCAUUCUGUACAUCAUCAUCGUUCUUGAAUUAACGUUACUCCUACCCCAGAUUCUGAACAAAGUCGGUCACGUAUCAAUCACGUAUCGACGCAGACUCGACGUCUGAGGUUAAGAGACCUACUCUGAAUGUUACAACAAACAGAAUGAAGGGAUCGACUGUAUUUUGGGAGCACAAACCUUGCCAAAAUCUCCCUAGCAAUCUUGCGCAUGUGAAUUUUUGUGACUUAUAAUCAGUCACGGCCUCACGUCUGUCCCCGGAGCCUGUUGCUACUCGUUUUACGUUUCUGAAACGUGAAAGUCGUGUGCGUGUAAUCGUCUCGGAAAUGCCCUCGGGUUGUAUUGCGCACAGCUAGAUCUGACGUUCCAGCUUUCCCUUCAUUCCGAAGCUGCUUUAUCUCCAGCGUUUUAUUGGACUGACUGUAUAUCUAUGGCCGUUUAUGAGCCUCUCCGUAUUUGGACGCCUGAACAGGGCCAACAAUAACACGGCAUAUUAAUUGCUAACUCUCUGGCUUGCUGGCUUUGUGUGCGCUUGGCAUCGGGUGGGAAGGCCAUUAAUCUCACCCGGCGAACAAGGGGACGCUCUCAAUGGAUGCUGUUCCGCCCAUUUUAUGCUUCAUUCUCAAAACCUGGAAAGCCACUAAAGAGUGUGAGAAAGAAAGAGGUUCCUCUUAACUUGAUCUUUCCGAAGCGUGACCGGAGACCCUGAUAGAGAGAUCUUGGCAUCGGUGGACGAGGGAAGGAGUGCAUUUUACCCACUGCUGAAACCAAAUGGGGGUUUAAACGUAUUUGUGCUUGUUCUUGUACAGUUUGUGCGCUGUUUAAUCGCUUGUCACUUGAGUUUGCACCAAAGUGUUACGAAGUCUAAUGAUAGAGUGGGGUUUGUCAACAUUAAGUUGUAAGCUUAAACGCAAAGUACAGCUGGAAGACACGUCAGGCGUGGGUAUAAUGGAAUUUUGGCAUUAAAUAUGUGUUGGGGUGUACAGGGGUGCACAUUUUUGGCGUGUUGAAAAGCCAGAACCUCGAGUGUCGAUGUGGGGUUCUUCCUGGUUCUCUGGUUUCCUCCCACCUCCCAAAAACAUUGGCAGUGGUUUGGAAAAUCUCUAAAUUUCCCCUGGGUAUAAAUCCGUGUAUAGAGUGGUUACUGGAGGCCAUUUACUUUUUCACUAUGUCGAAGUUGUUAUUCUUUGAGCCCAACAGGAAAAUGGCGCCUUCGUUUUAAACGUCCUUCUUCUCACGUGUCUUUGCCCAGAGGGACUGACAGCUUUGGGUCAGGGGUCAGCCACGAGGUCACAGUUUAGGAUGUCUGCCGUGUCAGUCAAGCACGAUUGGAUGGCGUGUCUGCCAAUCAAACCCCACUGGAACGAGCUCUGACAGGUUCUCAGGAUGGAGAUUUUUAUUAAGGUAGUCUGGGGCUGGAGGAUAUUAUCGGUCUGAUCUUGACGGACGUAAAUCUGCAGGUCUGUCUUUGUUGUUUAUCUUUUACCUGUAAUGUGUGAGAAGGGUAAAGGCAAGAGCACACCACCAUGACGUUCUUCAAUCUGUGUGUGAUUGCCGAGAAAUUUUUACACUGGUUUGUUCAGUCCUUUGGGCGUGUCUGCUCCUCUGCUAAACAUUCUACAGCUAAAUCUUUUUGCUUUUCUUUUUUGGUGUGUAGGGGAAAACAUGACCUUGCCUCCAAGCCCAAGUGUGUGCAGGACAUGUGUGCACGAUGUCAUAUAAGGGUACGACUUGCUCGUGCCCCAGAGCUCACCCCACGGCUCAGAGGAUUAAUGUCAGUCUGUGCAGACAGCAGAGGAAAGAGAUUGAUUCUAUUACAGGAGCUUUCUACAGCUCGGGAACGCAGCAGGGGACUGCAGACCAAGGUAGAGAGGAAGUGACCAAAUCUUGCCCUCGGGUUGAACAUGGAGACUUGAUGCCAAGUUUGCUCAAAUAACAUCACAGACCUGCUGAAAAGGCAACGAAGCAAUUGGGAAUAUGAAAAUAGAAUAUUGUGUGUGCAUGAUUAUGGGUGUAGUGAUGCACAGAAGCACCGAUGUAUUCAUUGUAGUGUUGGGAUUUUUAAAAAAAAAUUGGGUUAGUCAGAAAAUCUGACUAGGGUUCCUCAAGGGUUCUUGGGAUGGUUUCUAAAGCUUUCUAAAGGUGUUUUGGAUCAUUAUGUGAAAAGACAAGCCAUCUGUUGUAGAGUAGGGUUCUACACCGAAUCUUCAAGGGUUCCUGCUGAUGCUACAAACCAAAUUACCAUUUAGGGCUUUCUAAAGGUGCUUUGUAACCUUUUAUGAAAGAAAAACCAUCUGUUAUAGGGUUCUAUGUAGAAUGCUUACGUGUUCCCACCAGGGGUACAAACUGUUGGACUCCUUAUGGCUUUCUCAAGAUGUUUUGGAACCUUUAAUGAAAGAGAAAUCAUCUGUUUUAGGGUUCUUUUCAAGGGUACAAACCAAAGGCCCGCUUACGGUUUCUAAAGGCACUUUGGAACCUUCCUUAAUAAAGACACCUUCUGUUGUAGGGUUCUACAUAGGAUUUUUUUAAUGGUGCCCACUGGGGGUUCAAACUGAAGGACCACUCGGGGCUUUCUAAAGGUGUUUUGGGUCAUUUUAUGAAAGAGAAGUCAUCUUUGUAGGGUUCGACAUAGAAUCGUUAAAGGGUCCGACUAGGGGUACAAACCGAAGAACCCUUAAUGGCCUUCUAAAGGUUCUUUAGAACCCUUUAUGAAAGAUAGAGUUGAAGGGUUCUCGUCAGGGAUGCAAAAUGAAGGACCGUUUAAGGCUUUUUAAAGAUGUUGUGGAAUCUUUUAUCAAAGAGAAAUCAUCUCUUCUAGGUUCUACAUAAUAUCUCUAAGGUAGUGCAAAACGAAGAACCAUAUAGGGUGCUAAAUGUGUGUAAAAAAUUAUUAUUAUUAUUAUUAUUAUUAUUAUUAUUAAAGGUUUUCCUCAAAAUUCCAGUGCAUCAUUUAACUGUUCUCAGCUUCCUAAUGAUGUACUAUUACCUGGGAACCAUCUCUGAUAUGGGUUUGCAUACGGUUAUUUAAGAAACCUUCAAUUAAUUUUACAAGUGGAGUGUAUGUUUAACGUGGUUACUAACCUGUCCAUCCAAUCCAUGUGUCUGAAGAUAAAUUCGGAGCUUUUAAAACAAGUCAACAGCACGAAACAUACUCCGAGACGUGGAAGAUAGUGAGACGUGGGAUGUCCCUCUUGGAGAAUCCCACAUAGAACCCUACAAAAAAUGUGUCAGAAAGGAUUUCACGGAUGCUACAAACCCUGAACUACCCCAAAACCUUGAAGAACCCUUUGUUUACCCUCAGAGUGUAGCACCUUCAAGAUGAGGCCAAAUUAAGCCAUGAAGUUCUGGAUGUCUGGUGGAGGAUUUGGAUGAUGAAAGCCUUGGACGGGGGAGGCAGUGGACUUGCAUGCCAAUGCUUAACUUAAAAAAAAAAAAAAAAAAAAACAGGAGGGGGAAAAAAGCUGUGGAAUUAUGGGACCACUCUAAUCUGUGCAGAUGUUUAGGAAGACGAAUGGAGCUCCGAUCUUGCCUAUGCCCUGCAAAGAACGAGGCCAAUGAACUCUUAAGUGCAUUUGGGAGUACACAUAGGAAGAGAAAUAUGGCUUGGCUGGUGUCCUAAUAUUCCACAGGGUUCUCACUAAAUUCCCAGUGUAGCGCAGAUAAAGCCCAGCGGAGUCAGGGGCUCUGGGUUACGUCUCAAUGUUUAAUCUAAGUCUCAUAUGGGAUUGAUUUUAUACGGGGUUUGGAAGCUUUGAAUUAUAGACGUCACAGUAAAUAAAAACCUCUUCACUUUUCUACGGUGUAUUUUUAAAUAAAAAAAUACAUUUUUUUGCCAAAGUUUUUUCUUUGUUUUGAAAAAUGUACGGGUAAAAUUUACCUUCACAGACAUAUUCGAAAUGAUGGAUUACAGUUUUGAAGAAAAAAAAAAAAAAAAAACCCUCUGAAUCCUAAAUACAAAUGUUCAAAUCUGCUAGCGUCCACGACGUGAAAUGAAUUGAAGAGAUGUGGAGUAGAGUCGAGUCAAAAUGGAUGAUGUAAUCUUCCACUUAGCAAGUUCAAAACAAAGAAAAAGCACUGUACAAUUUACGAAAUAAACCACAGAGAAAAGCUCAUUUUCUUUACAAAGGUCGAGAUAUAAUGCAUGAAGCAAAAGCCUAAAAUCUAGCCGGUUGCCUUUUUCCAAAGUCGUACUCUCAGUGGGGGUUUUCUGAAGGAUUUGGAAGAAAGUUGAAUGUUGAAACGUGAAUCUUUCUGUGAAACGGCACUGAAUCGUUUCGGUUCUCUCUGCUCGUUGUGCUCCGGGGGAAUGGGAGUCGGGCGUAUUGAGUGUUUUCUGGUUGGACGCAUGGCUCUGGGAAAACAAGAUGAUUUCCAACAAUUGCUAAAUGCCUCUGGGAUCUGUGUGACCCACUGUGUUCGUGUGUUUCUGAUUGAUGAACUCGCUCGAAGUGAAUUUUAUAUUGGACAGGGAUGGCAGUUUGUCCCAGUUUGCCUUGUGACCUCACAAUGGAGGCCAAUGUUGUUGUUAUUUUUUUUCUUUUUACAUCAUUACUCGGUCGUGGAAAUCGAUAGAACCUUUGGGAAAACCUUUCUAUUCUCUCUAACCGCGUCCUCUGCACAGAAACGCCGUCCUGGGAGCUUUACGACGCCACGUAUGUGUCCGAGAUCGAUUUGUCCACGGCUUCCAUGUGUCUCCGUUUCUGCUCGGAGUCUGACAGUAGUGUUUCGGAGAGCUCUGGGUAACUUCUUGUCAUCUGAGGCUUUAGUUCGGGUGAUGGAGCUUCAUUAUCUGUCUCAGACGGGCUUGUUAAGUGAGUGACACUGAAGGAACUUGCGUCUGUGUGCCUCGGACGUCUAAUCACGCAGUUGAUAAGCGUGGUAACGAUAACAGCAGAGAUAACUCUGAUGGACUUCUCUAAGUGGCUAAUAAGAGAGGCUUACGGUGUCAGGGAUGGAAAGAAGACCACCAAAGGUGUGGUGUCCGUUCAGCUUCUUGAACUAUAAAAAAAACAAAUCCUAAUCUUAAGAACAUUUUUUUUUAAUCCUUGGCUGAGAUAGAAAAAGGUCAUGGACUGAUGCAGAGAUGAUGAGGUAGAGUCUGAUUUUUGGAUGGAACAGCAAGUGUAAGAUCUGUGAUUAUCCGCUGCUUUUCUGGUGAUGUCAUCUUUAUGGAAGAUUUAAGAAAAAGCUAAAUGGAUAUAUAUUAGGAUCAAGAGUCGUGUUCGAGUGGCUGUUGUUGUUGUUGCUUCUGGGAUUUGAACUCACAACCUUAACCACUGUGGCGUAAUACUCGACCCAGUACUGUGAAGCAGGGAUGCACACCAGAGCAAACACUCUACAUUCCAAAGUUCUUUCACACCAAACUUCAGGAUGUGAAACGUGGAUUUUUCCAGACCGGACAGCUAUGCUAAGCUAACACGCUAAGCCUGCACCCUGUUGACUUGCUGUUGAUCAUCAUUAAAAUUGGCCCACUUAAGAGAAUCACUUAAGAGUGCUCAGUCGCUCACGAUCGAUCUCUGGAUUGUGUUCAUGGAGCCAAACGAGGCCAGCUGGAUGUUUUUUAUUGAUUCAGCGGUGUCAAGGGCCGAGAGCCACCUCACUUGUCCCUGCUGAACAGUCAGUCUUGUGGAUGUUCUGGUUCAUAGCCUGAACGUAUCAAAGCACAGUUAAAAAAAAAAAGCAAAACCCAACAACAAAGGUAAUUCACCCAGCAGCAGUUUGCAACACAAACGAGAAUGAAAAACGGUUCUUUUCCCGUCGUGUGGAUCACCUGCUCACCGAACACCGAGCGGUGACGAAUUGCACCAAUCUGAGGCCCCGUUUCGAGUUUAAACGCUCUCAGAUCUCCUAAGAUAACAUAACAAAUAGCAGAUUGAACCCACUAAUUGUGGCAUGUUUUUGCGGUGAAAAUGUAACAUUCUAUACCUUAUCAUUUUUUCCCCCUUCUAUUUGAAUUCAUCUCGCUAUUCAGAAGUGAGAUUCAACCUGAGGCUUAAAAGCGCCAACGCAUGACAUCAUCUAACACACGUGCGCAAACACGCGGCUUGUGGGUCGAGUGUUAAUGGCGUCCUGAGAAAAGACUGAUUACAGACUGAGUGCACGUGCUAUCAUUAUGUAUAGUGACUUGAAGUUAACGUUUCAGCCUCCUGUAGCCGGGUCUUUUCGUUUUACUGGGUACAAGGCCAUUGUACAUCUGAAAACUACUACAAGGGCAAAGGAUGCAGGAUGGAGAAACACUUCUAAUCGCGGUUACUAUGAGUCCUAGAUGCAGAACCAAAACUCCAGGGGGUGGAGCUGGACCAGAUCCAACUCCUCCUCCGAACCCUAACUUAGGAGAUGCUGUACAACACGGAACAAGAAACCCUUUGACUUGUCCACACACACCGGAUGUUUGGUCCAGCUUUACCAAGGUAGGAGGAGCUGAUCAGGUCCGACUCCACCCCCUUAACUUUUGGUCCUACAGCGAGGGGUACUUUUGCUUUGCACCAAUUUUAUCUAGCUAAUGCAUGCUAGGCUUUUCUUUUCAGCAAUGUCAGCACCAUAACAAUGGCUCAAUAAUUCACGUAGCCUUUUUGCUGACACUUCGUUAAUUUGCUUGAAAUUUCCCACACACCGAGAAGGACACAGAUCCGGAGUCUGUCUGAUAGACCUGCUCCUCUUCAGCCUGUCCCCGCUAUUAGGGACACUCUGUCUGAGAGCAGAAGCCAGAGAUAGACAGGCUUUUGUUCACACGCGCAUGAUUGUCCUCGUUCUCACUCUGCCGCUUGUCUUUGCUGUGGUCACGAUGGAAGGAGAUUACAGACCACAAGCAGCGAGCAGCUAAGUCGGCUUGACCCGGGAUACCCCCACGCUUAUCAUGUCUGCAGUGUCCUCUUCUCUCCUCUUCUCUCCUCUUCUCUUCCUGUUUCAUUCAGUGGUCAGGGAUGCUUAAGGUAUCUACUGGGAGUGUUUGUUGGAUUCGGAUGGAAACUGAGCCCCAGGUGGGUGAUGGGCGUGUCUUGUUUUCUAGUCUAGAUUUCUCUCCACCUCUUGCUUGAGGGUGUCGUGGCACUCCAGUUUCGACCGUGAUGGGGGUGACCUUGACAAGACGUUGCUAAUGUGAGACGGAGGAAAGGGGCUGGGCGUUCCAGUGGGUCAGUUAAUAUUGGAGAGUUCAGAACACCUAUGCAACUGUUAAUCAUUCAAGAUUCAAAAGUUGACUGGCUCAUGUGCUGUUUUCACGGUGGACUGAGUGAUAACUCGUAAUGGCAUAUCCUCUUAGGAUAGUUGUGUCUACUUGAACAAAAAACGGUCUAACCUGCAACCAAGUGCUAACCUGGAACUUAUGACAUUUACAAACCGUCUUCGCUUCUUAUUGGGCAGCGGUAGCUCAGUGGUUAAGAUUGGAAGGUUGCGAGUUCAAACCCCAGCAAUUCCAAGCCUCCAGUUCUGGGCCCUUACCCCUCAACCGCUCUGUUGUAGAAACCAGAUAAAUGUAAGUCACUCUGGAUAAGGACGUCUGCCAUAAAUGUAAAUGUUUUUUUUUUUAUUUAUUUUUUUUUUACAGAACCCCAAACAGAGGUAAUUCUCACCAGACUGAUCCGUACUAGUUAACCCUUCAGGAACGCCCUAGUAGAUUAAGGGUUAACACCAGGCACGCUUUCCUUUCCCAUGGGAGUGUGGUGGUGUUGACGAGGGGCUCCGUUUGUUAGCAGCUAAUCGCCUUCCUCACGGAUGAGUGGCUCCUGAAAGUGACUCAGAAAAAUGAUCGGAUGGAUGGCCCUGUUGACACGAGCGUGUGAAACCCCCCCAAAAAAAAGAAGCCCAGAGUAAUCUCACUUCCUUCCUGUUCGGUCUGGGAAACCGGGUUGAUCAUUGGUCCUCGUUGGCACCUGGCUCUUCCCCGAUAGGCCAACGGUGCAUGUCAUCCUAUCAGCUCUGUCUAUUUAGAAGGAAAAAAAAAACGAAAGAAUGUCGUGGACAGAAAAGCGCCCGAAGCCUGCCGCCCACGGGCAUGAGAGGAAAAGCUGACGCUGGGAUUUUAGAGGAAAGAUCUCACUCGAACACACAAUGGCUACCAAACAGGAAGUGGCAGAACAAUCUUUCGCCCACUCCGGCCGUGUUGUGACCUCCAGGGCUGCAGCAGCGAUAACCCGGCAUUCCUGAAACCUCGCUGGGUAGGACGCUGGGAGCUUUCUCUUGCUCCCGGGUCACCGGAGGUCACCUUCCUGCUUCUUUUACGGCUGUAAAUCAGUCGCGCUCCUUGUAUUCGUUCAGUCUACAUCAUUUAACAAAUAUUAGUCAAUGAGCUGAGAUGACGUACAAUGUGCGAGACUCCCAGUUUUACACCGGAACACUUUAACACUGUACAAGCUUUCACAGUCUUCAAAACAUUUACAAUGCAACGACAGUUUGAAUAAUUAGAUGGGAUUGCAACAACUUAAUGACGAUUUCUCACACAGCUAAAGAGCUUAUGGUUUGAAAUAAUAUAUUGGCGAAUAAAUAACGGAAUGAAAACAGCACUCAGACUUUUGGACGCUACCGUACGUCCACCCCUGGGAUGUCACAGGAUGAAGUGAAGUGUUGUAGAAACCGGGGCGAAAAAAAGCUGACCUCCUGAAAGUUCACCUCCGUGUCCUCAAUAAAACUCCCUAACGCUACGCCCCACCCCUUCCUGUUCCAGUUUCCGACUCGGCUGUACCUCGUAUCUCCCACUUUCCUCUUGUCCUUGUCAUGUUUAUUUGCGGAGGGCAUUGUGUGCUUGUUAGCCGUGAUGUAUUGUCUUCAUCCUGCUAAACAAUGCUGCCGAUUGCUUCCUGGGAAUGUUUAAGGACACGGACACAGGCGUCCUCCGUCUUGGUGCGAACUCGCAUGGCCUCGGUGUCACGUAAUAACUCGCGCUGUACUUACCUCCGUGCUGACUAGUUCAUGAAUAACCGGAGAACCGAUACGUUUUGUUUUGUCCUCGCAGAAUCCGACAGCUCCAGAGGAAACGCGUGGGAUCUUGUACAGGAAAUGGACGCGAACAGGGGAGUAACGAAGACUUUGAUAACAGGAAAUGAUUCAUUCAAAAUGUCAAAACCGGUAUUAAAAGGAAUAAAAUAAUAAUUGAUGAGACACGGAAAUCAGGGAUUCCUGGCCAUGUGAAUCUAAUCAUAAGAGAGGAUCGAUGAUCCUUCACUUCAGUCUUGGAAUGAUCAAAGUCCCUGACUUUGAGACAUGGAUACGGGCGGGAUAUGGUCCUGGGGCGGCUGUGGAUCAGGUGGUAGAGCGGGUUGUCCAGUUAUCGUAGGGUUUGCGGUUCGAUUCCCGGCUCACGUGACUCCACAUACCGAAGUGUCCUUGGGCGAGACCCUGAACCCCAAGUUGCUCCCGAUGGCAAGUUAGCGCCCUGCAUGGCAGCUCUGCUCCCAUUGGUGUGUGAGUGUGUGUGUGAACGGCUGAAUGAGUGUAAAGCGCUUUGUAGAACCGCCAAGGUUAAAAAAAAAAGCGCUACAUAAAUGCAGACCAUUUACUGUAAGCUCACGUCACCUUAAGCGACACAAUGAAUAAUAAUUUGUGGCUUGUGAAAUAUUAAUAUGCGGUUUGAAUAUGUUCAUUUGUGUAACCACCAUGUCACCUCAGAUGCGUCUUCAUUUCCUUUUCAGAACGUUUCUGGUCUGAAUUCCGAACACGCGCGAUCGGAAGUGCGCGUCAUGUUUCCAGACGAUCAUAAACGAUGCUCCGUUGCAUGUCACACACUGUUAAACGAUGCUCGUUACACACUCGCGAGUGAGCAGGCGGCGUUUUCGGGGCAGUGUUUGUGUUCUCUUAUUCAGAAAGAACCUGUUUUUUCGCUCGGAAGGCAGACAAACCGUCACAACCUGGGUCUGGGUUUUAGGAAUCCGAAUAUGAGACGGGACUACAUGAAGAAAAAGUGGCCAAGGUGAACACGUCAUGCGUGCGCUGACAGGGGGUCAGAGGUCAUGAGGCAAAAGCAACAGCCACCUGGAGAUGCGGAUUAAUUUGGGAUUAUCGCUCGGGGGUCAGGGGCCGUCUGCCCUCGGGGGUGAGCGGGGUCAGCGUGAAUGGAUGGAGCAAUCUGCAGAAUCUCAAUGAGAGAAAGGGAAAAAGAUAGUGCGUGUGUGUGUGUGUGUGUGUGUGUGUGUGAGAGAGAGAGAGAGAGAGGUUGUUGAUUAAAAGUUAUUUGAAUGUUUUCUGCAAGGAGACAUGUAUUUAACGUUUAUGGAAGGAGUCUCCAGUGUCAGAGGUAAAGCUGAAACUUUACAUUUUCCGACAGCGGGACAGGAGAGUUUUACGCCCAGAGGUUUCUGAGUAACAUGGCAAGCUUCAGGGUUUAUAUUUUUGGACCAGCUGGUUGUUGAUUAUUUUCCUGUAUGCACACGCCCCAGAGUGUUUUAUUCUUUACUUUAUAUGGUUGUAGAAGAGAGAGGGAGUUUGGUGGAGGUUUUGGUUGGAUGGAGGCAGAACCCUCGCCGAUGAUGAGAAUCUCAUCAGAGCUGAUAAAAAAGAACACCAUUAGAGAGCUAGGGUGUGUGUGUGUGUGUGUGUGUGUGUGUGUGUGUGAGUGAGAGAGAGAGAGAGAG
Long non-coding RNA from Ictalurus punctatus (channel catfish), 17961 nucleotides. NCBI's taxonomy places the organism in Eukaryota, Metazoa, Chordata, Actinopteri, Siluriformes, Ictaluridae. The record is from Ensembl.